This 908-nucleotide long non-coding RNA is filed under the name Panax ginseng (ginseng). Its description in RNAcentral is "long non-coding RNA (PGIN_LNC018287)". Lineage: Eukaryota; Viridiplantae; Streptophyta; Magnoliopsida; Apiales; Araliaceae. The record is from RNAcentral.
GCACCUAUAUAAACAUGCUUGAUCGAUCGAUCGAGAGACACAUGCAUAGAUCUCAACCAAACCAUAAUAUAUAAUUUUAUUAGCCAAGACUAAGAGACAUAUAAAUUUUAUUUAGUUAUAGCAAUCAAACAAUGGCAAGUUUGGCAACACCUAGGUCUAUUGUGCUCGUAUUUUUUCUCCUCGCAAUAGUUUUCUCCCCAACAAUACCAAUACCAUGUGAGGCAACUCGACUGCCUCAGCGAGGUGCGUAAAUUAACUAUAAAUGCAUUAAUUAAAUAUAAUUAAUUAGUCAAUUAAUAUAUUAGUAAUUAAGUUUUUUGAUUUGUACGUGUGUUUUUAAUUAAUUAAUGAAAUAGUUGUUGAUUUGAAUUAAAUAUACAUGCGCAUGUACAGAGCUACUUCAGAGACGUCCUGAUCCCCCCAUAUGUCCUGCUUGUGUGUGUUGUGCACCUCGGCCAGACCCAUACUCUUGUUGUCCUUGCUUUUGUGAUAAUCCAUCUUCUCCAACCACUUCUCAGUCUCAGAUUGAUAAUGCUUCACCAUGAGAGAUCGAGAUCGAGAUCGAUGCUGCCGCUGCUGUCAGCUUCCAUCUCAACCUAAACCUAGCUAAUAUAGUACUACUAUAUAAUAAUAAUAAUGUGCACUUAAUUUCACAUAAUUAAUUGCACUUUAGUUUACACCAUUAAAUAAUAAUGGACCUACCUGUGUCAUAUUAUUGGGUCUUAAUUACUACUACUGUUAGCUUGAUAUGUGAUUAAUUGAUAAAAAGUUUAUUAUCUAAACUUUUGUCUGUUUUAUUGUAUCUUUAAUGUACGUACGUACGAAAUUAAUUAAUAAAUAUAAAUAAAAUCAUAUAUUGUGUGUGUUGUUAUAACUUUCCUUUCCUUUACUUACUCCUUUAGUUUCCA